UUCGGGUUGAUCCUGCCGGACCCGACUGCUAUCAGAGUGGGACUAAGCCAUGCGAGUCGACGUAGCAAUGCGUGGCGAACGGCUCAGUAACACGUAGUCAACAUGCCCAGGGGACGUGGAUAACCUCGGGAAACUGAGAAUAAACCACGAUAGGUCACGAUUUCUGGAAUGGAUCAUGGCCUAAAUCUACAUGGCCCCUGGAUUGGACUGCGGCCGAUCAGGCUGUUGGUGAGGUAAUGGCCCACCAAACCUAUAACCGGUACGGGCUCUGAGAGGAGAAGCCCGGAGAUGGGCACUGAGACAAGGGCCCAGGCCCUAUGGGGCGCAGCAGGCGCGAAACCUCUGCAAUAGGCGAAAGCCUGACAGGGUUACUCUGAGUGAUUUCCGCUAAGGGGAUCUUUUGGCACCUCUAAAAAUGGUGCAGAAUAAGGGGUGGGCAAGUCUGGUGUCAGCCGCCGCGGUAAUACCAGCACCCCGAGUGGUCGGGACGAUUAUUGGGCCUAAAGCAUCCGUAGCCGGUUCUGCAAGUCUUCCGUUAAAUCCAGCCGCUCAACGGAUGGGCCGCGGAGGAUACUACAGGACUAGGAGGCGGGAGAGGCAAGCGGUACUCAGUGGGUAGGGGUAAAAUCCUUUGAUCCAUUGAAGACCACCAGUGGCGAAGGCGGCUUGCCAGAACGCGCUCGACGGUGAGGGAUGAAAGCUGGGGGAGCAAACCGGAUUAGAUACCCGGGUAGUCCCAGCUGUAAACGAUGCAGACUCGGUGAUGGGCUAGCCUUGUGCCAGCCCAGUGCCGCAGGGAAGCCGUUAAGUCUGCCGCCUGGGGAGUACGGCCGCAAGACUGAAACUUAAAGGAAUUGGCGGGGGAGCA
Molecule: ribosomal RNA, 868 nt
Filed under: uncultured archaeon
Lineage: Archaea
Description: bacterial SSU rRNA
Rfam family: Archaeal small subunit ribosomal RNA
Source: RNAcentral